GCUUGUCUCAAAGAUUAAGCCAUGCAUGUCUAAGUAUAAACGACUUUAUACAGUGAAACUGCGAAUGGCUCAUUAAAUCAGUUAUAGUUUAUUUGAUAAUACCUUACUACUUGGAUAACCGUGGUAAUUCUAGAGCUAAUACAUGCUACACAACCCGACUUCUGGAAGGGUGGUACUGAUUAGAUAAAAAUCAACUUUGUUGGUGAAUCAUAAUAACUUCUCGGACCGCAUGGCCUCGUGCUGGCGGUGCUUCAUUCAAAUAUCUGCCCUAUCAACUGUCGAUGGUAGGAUAGAGGCCUACCAUGGUUGCAACGGGUAACGGGGAAUAAGGGUUCGAUUCCGGAGAGGGAGCCUGAGAAACGGCUACCACAUCCAAGGAAGGCAGCAGG
This 389-nucleotide ribosomal RNA is filed under the name uncultured Exobasidiomycetes. Its description in RNAcentral is "partial small subunit ribosomal RNA". It matches the Rfam family "Eukaryotic small subunit ribosomal RNA", at positions 30 to 432 of the family's 1831-position model. The record is from RNAcentral. Lineage: Eukaryota; Fungi; Basidiomycota; Exobasidiomycetes.